Molecule: long non-coding RNA, 1363 nt
Organism: Anopheles gambiae (African malaria mosquito)
Lineage: Eukaryota; Metazoa; Arthropoda; Insecta; Diptera; Culicidae
Exons: 2
Source: RefSeq, a predicted model, not a curated record
UGACGCAGAUAGAGUUGGCUGCCGUUGGCUUCUCCGACGGCCGGGCUUACACCGUGGGUUGAAUUUGGUCCUUCGAAACGGAAUGGGUUUUCUCGCUCCGAUGAUUGGGGGGGUUUUGGAGCUCUAAUGCAUUACAACUUCGAGCGCACAUACAUACACACACACAUAUCCUGUGCGCGAGGUAAAUCGUCUUUUCUAGGCAAGAGAAAAAUCCCCGCAACAGAGCCACGAUGGUAGCGAAAAAGGGACGGAUGGCACAACGGCAUUAUACGCCGUAUUUGUGUGGUGCUGUGUCGACAGACGGAGUGAUGUGAUGCGAGCACUCUAGCAGGCAAAACGCAUGACGAAGCGCAUCCGGGAAGGUAUACGUACAAACGCACAUACACACACACACACACACACACACACACACACACACACAAUCUGUUGGUGCGGUAGCGGUGAAGAUUACGUUUUCUCUCUUCCAUUCUAUUUACUUUGGCUGACACAAAUCAUCAGUCCAUCGCAUUUACUCUACCGCAAACAGAAAAAAAAAUCCGCCAUAUUCGGCGCUCCGCUAGGGAAGAGACUUGUACAAAAACAACAUACCCCUGGCAGUCUGUUGAACCAUAUCGCUAUAACCGGAUUUCUACCCAUAGCCAGCAUCCAACCAAACAGCGUAAAACACAAAAACAACUCAAUCGAGGACAAAAUUAAGAAAAAAAAAACAAUGCUCUACAAUACGUUUUUCAGUCUUCAUCUUCACACAUACACAUACACACCAAUGUACAAAGUUUCCGUUGCCAUUGUGAGAAGCAAAAAUAAGAAACAAUCUCCAGCAGGAGGUGGUAUGUAAAGAAAUCAAGUAUUCGACUUUUGUAUGGAAACCCAUCGACAAGCUCCACGAGUGUGUCCGCUUUCACGGGCAGUGUACCACGCUGGUGGUGCUGAGGUUCGCGUUCGAAGGGUCGUUUCUUUGCUUUUUGAAACUGCGACUUCAUAAACAACAAACGAGUAUGCGUGUCAUAUCUCAUUACCUCCUGGUACAGUGGUGGUGGUGGGGAUGACGAUCGAUCCUUUCCCAAGCACAGGAGAUAUUUGAUAUAUUCCCAAAGUACUCUUUGCCCGGUCAUACUAACCGCUCAAUGGAACGUCCAACCAAGCCCAAAUAAAACAAAGCAGCCGGAGCGGACACACUGCAUUGAACGCCCUUGUCUAAGCUCAACGUCGCACUAUAAGAAAUUUCUGAGAAUAUGCCGAUCAUGAAUAAAGCAAAAACGUUGUUUUCUUUCCUGAAAAUGUACUCCAAAUUCUAUGUAACCAUUAUAACCAUAUCAUAGGGAAAAUAAACUUUCGAAAGUGGUCCACAGGCCCAAAAAUGUAA